CGUGAGAUGUUCGGUUAAGUCCGCUAACGAGCGCAACCCUCGCUGUGUGUUACAAGUGUCACACGGUACUGCCGAUAUUAAGUCGGAGGAAGGUGGGGAUGACGUCAAGUCAGCAUGACCUUUAUAUCCAGGGCUACACACACGCUACAAUGGCCAGUACAAUGGGUUGCCAAGCCGCGAGGCGGAGCCAAUCCUAAAAAGCUGGCCUCAGUUCAGAUUGCAGUCUGCAACUCGACUGCA
Molecule: ribosomal RNA, 240 nt
Filed under: uncultured bacterium
Lineage: Bacteria
Description: partial 16S ribosomal RNA
Rfam family: Bacterial small subunit ribosomal RNA
Source: RNAcentral